CUUGCACAGAAUGAUUAGUGGCGAACGGGUGAGUAACACGUGAGUAACCUGCCCCUGACUCUGGGAUAAGCCUGGGAAACUGGGUCUAAUACUGGAUAUGCACCGUAGACCGCAUGGUUUUUGGUGGAAAGAAUUUUGGUCAGGGAUGGACUCGCGGCCUAUCAGCUUGUUGGUGAGGUAAUGGCUCACCAAGGCGACGACGGGUAGCCGGCCUGAGAGGGUGACCGGCCACACUGGGACUGAGACACGGCCCAGACUCCUACGGGAGGCAGCAGUGGGGAAUAUUGCACAAUGGGCGAAAGCCUGAUGCAGCGACGCCGCGUGAGGGAUGACGGCCUUCGGGUUGUAAACCUCUUUCAGUAGGGAAGAAGCGAAAGUGACGGUACCUGCAGAAGAAGCGCCGGCUAACUACGUGCCAGCAGCCGCGGUAAUACGUAGGGCGCAAGCGUUAUCCGGAAUUAUUGGGCGUAAAGAGCUCGUAGGCGGUUUGUCGCGUCUGCCGUGAAAGUCCGAGGCUCAACUUCGGAUCUGCGGUGGGUACGGGCAGACUAGAGUGAUGUAGGGGAGACUGGAAUUCCUGGUGUAGCGGUGAAAUGCGCAGAUAUCAGGAGGAACACCGAUGGCGAAGGCAGGUCUCUGGGCAUCUACUGACGCUGAGGAGCGAAAGCAUGGGGAGCGAACAGGAUUAGAUACCCUGGUAGUCCAUGCCGUAAACGUUGGGCACUAGGUGUGGGGGACAUUCCACGUUUUCCGCGCCGUAGCUAACGCAUUAAGUGCCCCGCCUGGGGAGUACGGCCGCAAGGCUAAAACUCAAAGGAAUUGACGGGGGCCCGCACAAGCGGCGGAGCAUGCGGAUUAAUUCGAUGCAACGCGAAGAACCUUACCAAGGCUUGACAUGUGCUAGAUCGCAUAGAAAAUAUGGUUUCCCCUUUGGGGCUGGUUCAAGGUGGGGCCAUGGUUGUCGUCAGCUCGUGUCCUGAGAAGUUGGUGGUUAAGUCCCGCAACGAGCGCAACCCUCGUUCUAUGUUGCACCCCUUUUUGGUGGGGAAU
Molecule: ribosomal RNA, 1050 nt
Filed under: bacterium
Lineage: Bacteria
Description: bacterial SSU rRNA
Rfam family: Bacterial small subunit ribosomal RNA
Source: RNAcentral